RNAcentral lists this ribosomal RNA (550 nucleotides) under uncultured bacterium. RNAcentral describes it as "bacterial SSU rRNA". It matches the Rfam family "Bacterial small subunit ribosomal RNA", at positions 355 to 896 of the family's 1533-position model. The record is from RNAcentral.
UGGGGAAUAUUGGACAAUGGGCGAAAGCCUGAUCCAGCCAUGCCGCGUGUGUGAAGAAGGCCUUUUGGUUGUAAAGCACUUUAAGUGGGGAGGAAAAGCUUAUGGUUAAUACCCAUAAGCCCUGACGUUACCCACAGAAUAAGCACCGGCUAACUCUGUGCCAGCAGCCGCGGUAAUACAGAGGGUGCAAGCGUUAAUUGGAAUUACUGGGGGGAAAGAGCGCGGUAGGUGGUUAUUUAAGUCAGAUGUGAAAGCCCCGGGCUUAACCUGGGAACUGCAUCUGAUACUGGAUAACUAGAGUAGGUGAGAGGGGAGUAGAAUUCCAGGUGUAGCGGUGAAAUGCGUAGAGAUCUGGAGGAAUACCGAUGGCGAAGGCAGCUCCCUGGCAUCAUACUGACACUGAGGUGCGAAAGCGUGGGUAGCAAACAGGAUUAGAUACCCUGGUAGUCCACGCCGUAAACGAUGUCUACCAGUCGUUGGGUCUUUUAAAGACUUAGUGACGCAGUUAACGCAAUAAGUAGACCGCCUGGGGAGUACGGCCGCAAGGUUA